CAGUAGCCACGGGAAUACGAAGGGGGCUAGCGUUGUUCGGAAUUACUGGGCGUAAAGCGCACGUAGGCGGAUCGAUCAGUCAGGGGUGAAAUCCCAGGGCUCAACCCUGGAACUGCCUUUGAUACUGUCGAUCUGGAGUAUGGAAGAGGUGAGUGGAAUUCCGAGUGUAGAGGUGAAAUUCGUAGAUAUUCGGAGGAACACCAGUGGCGAAGGCGGCUCACUGGUCCAUUACUGACGCUGAGGUGCGAAAGCGUGGGGAGCAAACAGGAUUAGAUACCCCAGUAGUCCCUGUCUCUUAUAC
This 301-nucleotide ribosomal RNA is filed under the name uncultured bacterium. RNAcentral describes it as "partial 16S ribosomal RNA". It matches the Rfam family "Bacterial small subunit ribosomal RNA", at positions 509 to 807 of the family's 1533-position model. The record is from RNAcentral.